AAUAGGUGGUUUUCUGAAACGGAAUCUACUCGUGCGAGUAUCGUGCAAAUAUUUCACGCGUGUAUCGCAUCAAUUGCAUGCUUCUUCCCAAGUUCGAAGGGAGAGUUCCUCUUCGAGAGAGCUCCUUCGCCUUUCGAUUUUCGCUGCCGUUCGAGAUGCUUCUUCCUAAGUUCGAAGGAGAGCUCCUUCGGGCCUGUCUCCUCUUCGCGUAGAUCUGAUCGAUGGCUGUUCCGAAGGAGAGCCUGUCAAUGAAAAUGCAAAGUAACAUCUCUCUCAAUGGUGGUGAUCGGACAUGCUAGCAGUUUCACCGGCAAGCUUCAACAUUACCAGCGAGACCAAGUGUUGUAGUAGCAUCACCGGCUCUGAUCUCUCCAUCAUCUUUCUUUUUUUUCUUUUUGUCUUUUUGCUCUCCCCACAUCACCUCUCUCGCACUUUCUCUCUCUCCCCCUCUCUCCCUAUUUGGGUUUUUUAGGUUUUCCCUUCUCUUGCUUCCGGCAGUAGCAGUAACAGUGGCAGACCUUGCCUUCUCUCUCACGAUUUUCUCUCUCCCUCUCUCUCUCUCUCCCCCCCUCUCUCUCAAUGGCGGUGAUCGGAAGAGCUUUCCGCCUGCAAAUGUGGUAUAUUUUUUAACAUGCAAGAACGGCGAGACACCGGCGAGACCAAGUGUUGUAGCAGCAUCACCGGCUCCGAUCUCUCAGUCAUCUUCCAAUGCUUCUGCUCGAAAGAAGAUGGCUACUUUCUAAUUUUUUACUCUUUAUUUUGUUCAUAUCUUUUGCUUUUUUUUUAAUCUCUCCUCUUUAUUUUGUUCAUAUCUUUUGCUUUUUUUUUUCAAUCUCUCUGGAGAUUGUUCACUAAAUGUUUCAAAUUUUGUGCCAGAAACCUAUUGGAAAUAAGGAAAGGGUUCUUCUUGAUCUACAGCUUGAUUUAGAGAAGGUUGAUAGGGAAGUUGCAGUAUUGGUGGCACCGAACAGCAACAUCCGCAACAAGUUCAACAGCAGCAGCCGCCUCCGCCGCCGCCAGCCCAACCAAAAUCUGGAAGAAAUGAUUUGAAGGCGGAGAAACCCGUUCAAUUCACCUCUUUUCCGUUGCCGAUGACUAUGGCGGGCUGACCAGGCGGGCUUACUUCUCUGGAUACAUGCCACCACUUCAAGCUGUUGUGUCCAUGGAUGGGAGUUCUGGAUCUUCGACGCCUGGCCAGGUACCACAUUUGUUUCUCUCAACAGCGGCCAAAGAGGUGCGCAACUCAUUACCACAUUGCUCGGAGCAUCUACUGUCAUCAGUAGUUUACAUGGAUGAAUCCUUUCUGGCAUGCAGUUGCUGGUUCUGCAUCUUUUUAUGGGGCCAAGCCAUACAAUCUCAAUGUUGUGCCCCCGACAGAAACCACUAUUCUUGGAAACCCAUUGCAGRGAAGCUUACCAAGUAGGAAUUUGAACUCGAUUUCAGACAAGGGCCAAGUUGCUAGCACAUUUUCUGGUCAUACUACAAAGGAUAAGAACUCUGCAGUGGCUGCACCCAACUUUGUGGAUGUCCAGAGAAAGCAGCAUGUGCUCCAACAAGCUCUGCAGUCUGCUUCUUCUGGAAAUCUGCUGCUUGUUUAUUCUAAACUCAGUUGUCAUCCCAACGCUACAAUGGAUUUCGCCCGAUGAAUGCCAAAACUUUGGUUCAAAAGAUCUUUGCCCCCUUGUUGGGAUUGUAAAACUAUAUUCCUUUUUACGUAAUGGUAUCCAACUAUUCUAUGGCCUAUUGGUUACAAUCAGAAUUUGUUUUAGAAUUGCAUUUCAACUAAUCAGUCUACAGUUUAGUCAGAUUUUUAUAGCUCCCCGACUUUAACCAGCCAGUAGAAAUUCUUGGCUGGUUCUGGAUCACAAGGUAUCUGAAUAGUCCAUUUGUUGCCUCAAUUUCUUAUUAUUUUAAUAUAUGAAUUUCUUGUGAUUAUACAAUUCUAUAAUAGAAAGAAUAUCAUGUAAUUGGUCCUAAUAGCUCAAAAUUAGCAUUGCAGCUAAUCAAUGAAAAAAAAAAAAAACAAAACAGUUUCAAAAGAUUGCAUCUACAUUAAAAGAAAAUGGAUAUCAAAUAUUUACCUAGCUUCAUUACAGGGAGGCUAACCAUCACAAGUCAAGGGUAUAUUGCUUCAUAGUUGUUAGAUAAGCUUAAGAAAAGGAAGAAUUGUCACAUACAUUGUAUUAAUUUAGAAAAAGAAUAUAAUAGAGUGCGUAGAGAUUAAUUUUAUGGGUAUUGGUUAAAAAGUUAGCUCUUUAGCAGAUACUUAUCAAUCUGUUAGGUAUAAAUUCCCAUUAAAAGAAAUGGUACAUGUUGUUGCAUUAGAGAUAAACCACAUAUUAAGAUUGAGAUGAUAGUAUUUUCAAUGAUAAGACUUAAGAGUAGGACCCAAGCAGAAAUCCUCGAGUUAGUUAAGCUGGAAGCUGCACAUUGGGUGAAAACUUUGGAUGAUUUCAAAGUCUUUUCACUAAAUGAUAAUUUAAGAACAUGGAAAGAGGUGGCACUAUCGGCUAUAGACAAGGCAAGGGAAGUGAUGGAAUGGUGGGGGGUAGGGGGGUGUCUUCAAAGAUAAAGAAGGUAGAGUGGUGGCUCAAUAUUCAGGACCCUUGGAGCAUAGUGAUGAAUUGACAGCUGAACUGGUUAGUCUACUGUAGGGGUUAAUACCCAGAUUCCUUGGGUAUUUAGGUAUAAAUUUAGGGAGAUUGUAAGUCUAACAAGAGAACUAAAUGUUUCCUUUAAGUGGGUAAGAAGAACAGCAAAUGGAAUGGUAGAUUCUCUGGCCUAACAACGGGCUGUGAGACGGCAUAUGUUUUUUGGAAAAUCUAUAAUCCUUGCUGAUUUGGAAUGGAACUUACACCCCAGAUCAUGUAAUUCCUAAUCUUUCAUUAAUAAAAUUCCUUUUCUACUGAUAAAAAAAAAGGGAUUGCAUUUGCAUCUACAUCUCUCUAUAUAUAGUAUGGUGGGACUCAUCAUCAUCAUCAUCAUCUAAGCCCAACUAUAUGGGGUUGGCUACACGAGUCCUGUUUCACCAUUCCAUUCUGUAUGGUGCAAUAUAGUAUAUUGGGGUCAAAUAAGAUUAUUUGGUUUUUACCACUAACUAAUUCUUUUCACUACGUUUAAAUUGUUGUAGUAAUGAAUUUUCCAUGUAAGGUAGGUAGUGAUUUUUGUGGUAUUUCUAAGGUGUCCUUUUU
Molecule: non-coding RNA, 3191 nt
Organism: Nelumbo nucifera (sacred lotus)
Lineage: Eukaryota; Viridiplantae; Streptophyta; Magnoliopsida; Proteales; Nelumbonaceae
Source: RefSeq, a predicted model, not a curated record